This 433-nucleotide ribosomal RNA is filed under the name uncultured bacterium. RNAcentral describes it as "partial 16S ribosomal RNA". It matches the Rfam family "Bacterial small subunit ribosomal RNA", at positions 29 to 507 of the family's 1533-position model. The record is from RNAcentral.
AACGAACGCUGGCGGCAUGCCUAACACAUGCAAGUCGAACGAGACCUUCGGGUCUAGUGGCGCACGGGUGCGUAACGCGUGGGAACCUGCCCUUAGGUUCGGAAUAACUCCCCGAAAGGGGUGCUAAUACCGGAUAAUGUCUUCGGACCAAAGAUUUAUCGCCUUUGGAUGGGCCCGCGUUGGAUUAGCUAGUUGGUAGGGUAAAAGCCUACCAAGGCGACGAUCCAUAGCUGGUCUGAGAGGAUGAUCAGCCACACUGGGACUGAGACACGGCCCAGAAUCCGACGGGAGGCAGGAGAGGGGAAUAUUGGACGAUGGGCGAAAGUCUGAUCCAGCAAUGCCGGGUGAGUGAUGAAGGGCUUAGGGUUGUAAAGCUCCUUUACCCGGGAUGAUAAUGACAGUACCGGGAGAAUAAGCGCCGGCUAACUACGUG